This 792-nucleotide non-coding RNA is filed under the name Scipinia horrida. The record is from RNAcentral. Lineage: Eukaryota; Metazoa; Arthropoda; Insecta; Hemiptera; Reduviidae.
AAGUUAUGUUUGUAAAGUUUGAUUCUGGCUUAUAAUUUAGAAUUCAUUGUCCAAUAAUUGUACAUGCGAGUUUUUGCGAGUUUUCUUGUUCUAAAAGAUUUUGUAUUUAUUUUAUUUGCAGUUCUUAAUUUUAAGAUUUAAGUAAUCUUAGAUUUAGUUAAUUGGUUUAAUCCUGACAAAGGUUGUGCCAGCAUUCGCGGUUAUACAUCCGGGGUGAAUGAAUUUAUUUUGGUAUAUAAUUUAAUUGUAUAUAUUUAUAAUUAUUAUUAAAUUUUUAGGUAAAAUUGGAAAUUUAUAGAAUUUAUAAGUUUUGAUUUAAAUUAGAAAAUUCAAAUUUAAACUAGGAUUAGAUACCCUAUUAUUUAGAAUUGUUAAUUAUUUACCUUAGUAUUAAUAGUUAUGUUCUUAAAAUUAAAAGAAUUUGGCGGUAAUUUAGUCUUUCUAGAGGAACCUGUCCUAUAAUUGAUAAUCCACGAUGAAUUUUACUUUAUUUAUUGCUUGUAUACCUCUGUCAUGAAUGUUUUAUUAGGAAAAUUUUCUGUAAUCUUUAUGAGAAAAAUGUCAGGUCAAGGUGUAGCUAUAAUAAAGAAGAGAUGGGUUACAUUUAAAUAUAUUAAUGGAUUUAAUUAUGGAAAUAUUAAUGAAAUUGGAUUUAGAAGUAAAUGUUAUUAGAAUAUAACAUUGAUAUUCUGCUCUGAAUUAUGCACACAUCGCCCGUCACUCUCAUUGAAUAUGUUUAAGAUGAGAUAAGUCGUAACAAAGUAGGCCUACCGGAAGGUGGGCCUAGUUAGU